This 896-nucleotide long non-coding RNA is filed under the name Olea europaea subsp. europaea. The record is from RNAcentral. Lineage: Eukaryota; Viridiplantae; Streptophyta; Magnoliopsida; Lamiales; Oleaceae.
CUAGGAUUCAGAUCUGGUCAGCUGUGCCAAUGAUGGACUCAAAAUGGCACAGCCUGGUGGUAAAUGUUUUAAAGGCAAGCCAAAUGAAUUAAAAUGGCACUGAUUUUGUUCUGAAAUGGCAAGCCAAGGACAAUAUAGGAUUAUAGGUUAAUUAUCAAAUUUAACUUUUGAUUUGAAUUAUCAGACACCCUUUUCCGAAUAAGAUGACACUUAGUACCACAAAUUCAAAACUCAGUUACACUGGUUACGACAGAGAAUGUUUGCAAGCAAAUAAACCGUGUUAUAAUUUUCUGAAAGGUAGAAGAGGUUAAAAACAGGAGGAAAAAAAAAAGGAAAAAAAAGAAAAGAAACUUAAUAUUACCUGUGUGGGUACAAGGAGUUGAUAACUAACAGGAACUUGUUGGCUGUUAUAAUGCAUACCUGGUGAAUUCAGCUGCAUUUGCAGCCUUCUUCUCUGCCUCAAAAAUCUUGGUUAGCUCAUUCUCCAUUACUCACUAUCUAUUAGCUGCAAAAAAAGAACCUGGAAACAUGAUCAAAUCAGUCUCUCAAACUAAGCAAAAGAGAAAAUCUCUGGUCAAAGGAAAACAAAUUCUUUAUUACCAAUUGUAGUGAAUCUUUUAUAAACAUCACAACCGUGGAUAACUUGAGCCUUCAAAUAUCAAGACAACAGAAAUCCCAGAAAGUAAACUGUCUUUUAGGAGUCAUUACUACAUUAUUGCAGAGAGAAAGAUAUGAUGGUACACGGAACUGGAGCUUCAGCUUUAAGAAAGAAUGAAGCCAAAUUAUUUUAUAACCUUUCACCCAAAAUAAAGAUCCGUUCUACGAACCACAGAUAUAUUUAGAGACUAAAAACGAAAUUAGGUAUGUGAGAAUAAAGCUUCAAAAUAAAACCUUCC